CUUAUCCAAGUGAUCCUGACUCCCAGUCUAACUGAAAUUCAUAAAAACUGGGCUGGCUUGUUGAGCAAAAAUGCUGUAGCUACACAGCAUUCAUCAUUAAAGCACACCUGCUCUUUCAAACAAACAUUAUGAGGCAUCACCUGCCUAUGUCUCUCUAAUGAAUACCUGGUUAUACGGUAUUUUUCGCUCAGAUCAGUCCUCACAGCAAAAUGGAAGGAGGAAUAGGAAAAUGGAAGUGAACAGAAGUUGCAGAGAAAGGUGGAUUAUGCACGGCAAUGGUGCUGUUAAAAGUAAACAUCACUGGGACUACAGCUUACCUUUAUGCCAAAGCAGGUUAUCACCUGCAUGUCACUGCUGAUGCUUGUCUGGCCACACCAAGAAGUACAGAAGCUAAACAUGCAGGAAAUUGCUACUCCCCCUUCCUCCCCACAAAAGAAAUAGAGAGAGAAGGAGAGAGAGAAACAGAGAGAGAAACAGAAAGAAAGAAGUGAGUGGGGAGCAGUUUUCAUCUGGUGUAAGUCUCUGAAAUGGCUUAUCACGAGGUCAGCUGAAAGCCAAGGCACGCACAAUGGAAGGAGUGGAGCUGAAGGGCUAGAGCACAGGAAUGCAGGGAGCAAAGGACUGACACAGUGGAACCCAGCCUGGAUGAAACUUCUGGGGAGCUGCAGCCAGAGAAACAUCUGUCUCUGGAACUGACAGAUGUAAAAUGUUUGUAACUCCCUACUGCAUGGCUUCUAUCUCUGCUUUUUGCCUGUUUAUUUCUUGAUACAAAGAAGCCCCGAUGCCCAAGUUUUGCUUCUGAAAUGCAAUGCUUAAAAGCAGGAGCAGCACAUACCAGGGAGCUGUCACUGUGCUGCAUUCACACCCCGUGGUGUGGAAGCUGUUGUUUCUUGCAGUGAUUGCUCCUGAGAGAGGGCCUUGAACUAUACUGGAGUGGUUUUGCUUCUUACGAUCUAAGGAAUUUUUGUUUGGAUUGGGUUGGAUUUGUUAUUGUUUUUUCUUAUUAAUUUUAGUUUGCGAGUCUUUCUUUCUUUUUUCCCCAGCAGUCACCAGCCUUGUUACUGAUGCCUGGUCAAUUGGUUGGUCGGAGGAUAGAUAUGAGAAACACAAACUGCACGGUACUUUUAAAACAUACAGGCUGUGUUAAGUUCCCAGCUUCACAGCACACCGGACGUUCAAACAGUCUGGAUCCUAUUUAGCAAACAUUGUAGAACGUAUUCAGUUAAUAAAAGCUUGGCAAAUAUUAGUAAAAGGCUUGUAAUGGCUGGGAGUGAUGUAAAGGUUAAAAGCUUUGAUAGCAUCGUACCAAGCCCGGAUGAAGCUUGAAGGAACCAAAAUGAUGGGCCAAUGAGAAAUCUCAGUGCUGAUGAGGACAUGAUGAAAUAUUCAUUUGUUGGAAUCAGGAAAAGAUGCAACUGUUCUAUAAAUCUGCAUUUAGCUUCAGAACUUGAUUUUUUUAUAUAUAUUUUUCAGCUCAUGCAGUCCAAUUCUCUCAUUAUCAGUGUAUACAAACUAAAACAAGGAAGAAGUUUCCUCACUACUCCCAGCCUGACAAGAAAGCAAGAUGUUCUUUUCUUUAUGCUUAUGUUACACUGUUUUUCCCUAAUUACAAGCCAGGAGAGGGCUGCAGGGCAGACAGGCACAUGGGGAACGCUAUUUAUUGGUAGGAUCAUUUUGGUGCAGCUGCUGCCCUGACUGGGCAGAGAGAAGCUCCCUGUGGCCCUGAGAUUCCAGCACCUCUCAGGGAAGGCCUGGACAGGAGACGCAAAACCAGGACCACCAGAACUCAUGUGCCAGAUCAGGAUGCACUGCAUUCCCGCUUCCAAAACCGCCCUGAAGAUUCACUUUCCUUUAAAGGCUUGUCUGGACGAGGAUAAAGGUGUAUUUAAAAAAAAAAAAAAGUGCCAGUGAAAAACUUUUAAUUAACAUGAUUUCAGACCCGCAGUGUUGACGGGGUGUGUUGUAUUUUAGCGCAUUUGCCAGCAAACGUGUUAAAAUACAUUUGUGUCCUGUCUACAGGUAACAAGUUGGGACAAGUUUCCAAAAGUUUCAACAUUUAAUUGGAAUUAAAAGUGCUGACUGAGGUACUUUUACCCUGGCUGAGGCUGGGUGUCGUACAUGGAUUUUCUGGAGCUCUGAGAACAGCUGUGAGGCACACACUAUCAGCAAACACUGUGUCACAGGUGAGCAGCCAUAGCUGGGAGGCAGUGGCUCUGUGGGUUUGCUGGGCAGCACCUCCUGACUUUCCAGCAGCCCUAUCUCAGCCCUCCCACUUCCCAACAGGAGAGUGUGAAACCAAUCUUGGGCAAAACAUGCUGCGAGGAGUCACAUGUGGAAGCACUGCUGACAAGCUGAUUUUGGGGGUACAGCGUGCAACUGGAGAUCAGGCAGUGGGCUAAGGUGAGGCAUGGCUUUUGGUAUGGUGAUGGGAGGGGAACCCAGAGCUGCACUUUCUUAUUCACUAUUGGGCAUCUCAGAGGUGUCCCUCGGUGGAUGUUCUUAGAAAUGUUACCAUGGCACACAGGGGAUAUAACUACGUGCUGACACUGCUCUUGUUGUAGAAGCCGAAAUACAUUUACAGUGGAAUCAUUCUUUUUCAAACGCUAAACCUCUGUAAGCACCUGGUACAUCAUUGGUCCUGCCAGAGAAACGCUGUGAGAUGGUCGCUGUGGGUCCCUUCCACCUCAGGAUAUUCUAUGAUUCUAUGACCUUUGUGUGUGGAAGCCACUGAAGCACAAUGGUGAGUUCCAUACUCAUACCUCAUUAGUCCUUUUGCAAUACACCAGUCAAGGUGGGGGGUUGUUGGCGGGUUUUUUUUUUCUUUCUUUCUUUUUUUUUUUUUUUUUCCCCUUUGGAAGGAGAUGAAAAGAUCAAGAACUUAAGUGAAGUGCAAGAUUAAGAAUGAGGAAUCUCCCCUGCAGCGUAUUUGUUCUUGCUGGAGUCCUAAAGGUGUGGUGUGACAGCGAGCAGCCCAGCGGCUGCUGGGCCAGCCACAUGGUUACAUCUGGUGGUGGCACCUCACAUCGAGGGGUCUCUGUUAGAACAGAGCUGUCCGGGUUGCGAUGCACUGGGAAGGCAGCAUGCAGUUGUAGAACAUAGAAAUGGUUGAAAACCACACCGUUUGCAAAGCAUAUGCCGCCAAAACUCCCACAGCCUCUCUGUGCAGUGUUUCAGUGCCACCGCUCUGAGAUCCACGCGCUGCUACAGAAGAAAGGGAACUCGCAGAUGCCAACGCAGGUGAAAUCCCAGUGCAGGUGGACAGACGGAUGGCUUCUAGUGCUGUUAGGUCCUGGCACGGUCUUCAAGGAGGUCUUCUCCAUGAGCUGGUAUCUCGACUAGCGUGAAAAAGACAAAAUAAUAGUUAAAAAAAGAGAAAAUCACGAUCCAAAUGAAGAGGGAGCAGAGCAAGCCCCGAGCUCGGAGUUCCCUCGGGAAGUGGCUCACGAAGAUCUCCGCCUCUCCUCGCCCCUCCGUCGCGCAAACGCCCGCCGAGCACCCGCGGUGCCCCGAACGGGCGUGUCCGGGCGGGGGGGGGGUUCCGGCCGCCACCGCGACCCCGUUCCC
Long non-coding RNA from Gallus gallus (chicken), 3564 nucleotides. The record is from Ensembl. Lineage: Eukaryota; Metazoa; Chordata; Aves; Galliformes; Phasianidae.